AAGCGUCUGGAAAGGCGCGCGAUACAGGGUGACAGCCCCGUACACAAAAAUGCACAUGCUGUGAGCUCGAUGAGUAGGGCGGGACACGUGGUAUCCUGUCUGAAUAUGGGGGGACCAUCCUCCAAGGCUAAAUACUCCUGACUGACCGAUAGUGAACCAGUACCGUGAGGGAAAGGCGAAAAGAACCCCGGCGAGGGGAGUGAAAAAGAACCUGAAACCGUGUACGUACAAGCAGUGGGAGCCUCUUUAUGGGGUGACUGCGUACCUUUUGUAUAAUGGGUCAGCGACUUAUAUUCUGUAGCAAGGUUAACCGAAUAGGGGAGCCGAAGGGAAACCGAGUCUUAACUGGGCGUUAAGUUGCAGGGUAUAGACCCGAAACCCGGUGAUCUAGCCAUGGGCAGGUUGAAGGUUGGGUAACACUAACUGGAGGACCGAACCGACUAAUGUUGAAAAAUUAGCGGAUGACUUGUGGCUGGGGGUGAAAGGCCAAUCAAACCGGGAGAUAGCUGGUUCUCCCCGAAAGCUAUUUAGGUAGCGCCUCGUGAACUCAUCUCCGGGGGUAGAGCACUGUUUCGGCAAGGGGGUCAUCCCGACUUACCAACCCGAUGCAAACUGCGAAUACCGGAGAAUGUUAUCACGGGAGACACACGGCGGGUGCUAACGUCCGUCGUGAAGAGGGAAACAACCCAGACCGCCAGCUAAGGUCCCAAAGUCAUGGUUAAGUGGGAAACGAUGUGGGAAGGCCCAGACAGCCAGGAUGUUGGCUUAGAAGCAGCCAUCAUUUAAAGAAAGCGUAAUAGCUCACUGGUCGAGUCGGCCUGCGCGGAAGAUGUAACGGGGCUAAACCAUGCACCGAAGCUGCGGCAGCGACGCUUAUGCGUUGUUGGGUAGGGGAGCGUUCUGUAAGCCUGCGAAGGUGUACUGUGAGGUAUGCUGGAGGUAUCAGAAGUGCGAAUGCUGACAUAAGUAACGAUAAAGCGGGUGAAAAGCCCGCUCGCCGGAAGACCAAGGGUUCCUGUCCAACGUUAAUCGGGGCAGGGUGAGUCGACCCCUAAGGCGAGGCCGAAAGGCGUAGUCGAUGGGAAACAGGUUAAUAUUCCUGUACUUGGUGUUACUGCGAAGGGGGGACGGAGAAGGCUAUGUUGGCCGGGCGACGGUUGUCCCGGUUUAAGCGUGUAGGCUGGUUUUCCAGGCAAAUCCGGAAAAUCAAGGCUGAGGCGUGAUGACGAGGCACUACGGUGCUGAAGCAACAAAUGCCCUGCUUCCAGGAAAAGCCUCUAAGCAUCAGGUAACAUCAAAUCGUACCCCAAACCGACACAGGUGGUCAGGUAGAGAAUACCAAGGCGCUUGAGAGAACUCGGGUGAAGGAACUAGGCAAAAUGGUGCCGUAACUUCGGGAGAAGGCACGCUGAUACGUAGGUGAAGCGACUUGCUCGUGGAGCUGAAAUCAGUCGAAGAUACCAGCUGGCUGCAACUGUUUAUUAAAAACACAGCACUGUGCAAACACGAAAGUGGACGUAUACGGUGUGACGCCUGCCCGGUGCCGGAAGGUUAAUUGAUGGGGUUAGCGGUAACGCGAAGCUCUUGAUCGAAGCCCCGGUAAACGGCGGCCGUAACUAUAACGGUCCUAAGGUAGCGAAAUUCCUUGUCGGGUAAGUUCCGACCUGCACGAAUGGCGUAAUGAUGGCCAGGCUGUCUCCACCCGAGACUCAGUGAAAUUGAACUCGCUGUGAAGAUGCAGUGUACCCGCGGCAAGACGGAAAGACCCCGUGAACCUUUACUAUAGCUUGACACUGAACAUUGAGCCUUGAUGUGUAGGAUAGGUGGGAGGCUUUGAAGUGUGGACGCCAGUCUGCAUGGAGCCGACCUUGAAAUACCACCCUUUAAUGUUUGAUGUUCUAACGUUGGCCCCUAAUCGGGGUUGCGGACAGUGUCUGGUGGGUAGUUUGACUGGGGCGGUCUCCUCCUAAAGAGUAACGGAGGAGCACGAAGGUUGGCUAAUCCUGGUCGGACAUCAGGAGGUUAGUGCAAUGGCAUAAGCCAGCUUGACUGCGAGCGUGACGGCGCGAGCAGGUGCGAAAGCAGGUCAUAGUGAUCCGGUGGUUCUGAAUGGAAGGGCCAUCGCUCAACGGAUAAAAGGUACUCCGGGGAUAACAGGCUGAUACCGCCCAAGAGUUCAUAUCGACGGCGGUGUUUGGCACCUCGAUGUCGGCUCAUCACAUCCUGGGGCUGAAGUAGGUCCCAAGGGUAUGGCUGUUCGCCAUUUAAAGUGGUACGCGAGCUGGGUUUAGAACGUCGUGAGACAGUUCGGUCCCUAUCUGCCGUGGGCGCUGGAGAACUGAGGGGGGCUGCUCCUAGUACGAGAGGACCGGAGUGGACGCAUCACUGGUGUUCGGGUUGUCAUGCCAAUGGCACUGCCCGGUAGCUAAAUGCGGAAGAGAUAAGUGCUGAAAGCAUCUAAGCACGAAACUUGCCCCGAGAUGAGUUCUCCCUGACUCCCUGAGAGUCCUGAAGGAACGUUGAAGACGACGACGUUGAUAGGCCGGGUGUGUAAGCGCAGCGAUGCGUUGAGCUAACCGGUACUAAUGAACCGUGAGGCUUAACCUU
This 2607-nucleotide ribosomal RNA is filed under the name Escherichia coli KTE116. RNAcentral describes it as "bacterial LSU rRNA". It matches the Rfam family "Bacterial large subunit ribosomal RNA", at positions 336 to 2925 of the family's 2925-position model. Lineage: Bacteria; Pseudomonadati; Pseudomonadota; Gammaproteobacteria; Enterobacterales; Enterobacteriaceae. The record is from RNAcentral.